This is a long non-coding RNA of Megalobrama amblycephala (Wuchang bream), 1058 nucleotides long. RefSeq lists it as uncharacterized. The transcript is spliced from 2 exons. The record is from RefSeq and is a predicted model, not a curated record. NCBI's taxonomy places the organism in Eukaryota, Metazoa, Chordata, Actinopteri, Cypriniformes, Xenocyprididae.
AAGCAUGUUAACAAUGAGAAAUCAAGUACUAAAUAAAUAAAUUUUGCUGUAUUUAGAGUAAAGCAGAAAUUAUGUACAAAAUGGUGUUUGUGAGUCCUGAUGUCCUGUUAUGUUCCUGAUGGUGUUCAUCAGGACUCACAAUCAAGUCAGACUAGAUUAAACAAUGUUCAUAUGAAAUGUUCAGAACUAUUGAUUGAUUUAUUUGAAGCUGCAGGUUUUUCUGUGAAUCAUGAUGAUUGAGCUUCAUAUGAAGAACAGAAGAUCAUUAUGAGAAACUCCACAACAUCAUCCAUGAUAAAAGAGGUCAAAGGUCACCUCAGAGGUCACAGAUCAUCAAAUAUAUUUCUAUAAACAGUGUUAAAUCAGAAAGCAUUUAGUCCAAACUGAAUGUGUGAGUGUUGAGAAGAUGUGAGUUUCUUCUAAUAUCAGUGUGUUGAAGUGUUGUUUCUCUCUCUCUGCUGGAGUUUGUGUUCACUCGAGUGGAAUAGAGGUUUUUGUACGACCGUUUCAUUAGAUUGUAUCACUGUGGUGCACAUUCGGUGGAGGAACUAAACUGGUGCUCGCUGGUCCCACAGUGAAGCCCUCAGUGUCUCUGCUGCCGCCCUCUUCUCUGCAGAUCUCUGGAGACUCAGCCGCACUGCUCUGCCUGCUCAGCUCUUACUCUCCACAGGGGGCGCUGGUGAGCUGGACACUGGACGGGUCAGAGGUCACCGAGGGGGUCGUGACCAGCGCGGAGAGCCAGCGGGACGGCCGCUACAGCCGCAGUAGCGUCCUGACCCUCAGCAAAGCACGCUGGGAAGAGGGAGAGGUGUACGUCUGCAGAGUAACACAUGAUGGAGCUCCUCAUGAGGUCUCGUUCCACAAGAGCUCUGAGUGCUGAUGUUUCUCUCCUGAAGAUGAGCCGUAUCUGAGUGUCCUGUGUCAGGCAGGAUUCACAUGAGUCUAGUGCUGCAGCUGUAGUGAUUUACAACUCAAUACUGAAAGAGAGCUGGCGUGUCAAAGCACUGUGUGAUCUUUCAAUCUGCUGUAACAUUCAAUAAAGCUUCUCAACAAGUUCA